This 588-nucleotide ribosomal RNA is filed under the name Agarodes distinctus. RNAcentral describes it as "SSU rRNA". It matches the Rfam family "Eukaryotic small subunit ribosomal RNA", at positions 605 to 1158 of the family's 1831-position model. Lineage: Eukaryota; Metazoa; Arthropoda; Insecta; Trichoptera; Sericostomatidae. The record is from RNAcentral.
UAAAGUUGUUGCGGUUAAAAAGCUCGUAGUUGAAAUUGUGCCCUGCGGUGUCGGUCUACCGAUUGCGGUACGACAGGCACGUCUGCGGGGCUUCUCGCCGGUGCGUCCACCGCCGAAGUGCCGCGGUCGGCCUUACGGGUCGGCCGCGUGCGCAUUGGCGGGCCGUCGCGGCUGUUUACUUUGAACAAAUUAGAGUGCUCAAAGCGGGCUAACACUCGCCUGAAUAUUGUACGCAUGGAAUAAUAGAAUAGGACCUCGGUUCUGUUUUGUUGGCUUUCUGAUACCAGAGGUAAUGAUUAAUAGGGACAACUGGGGGCAUUCGUAUUGCGACGUUAGAGGUGAAAUUCUUGGAUCGUCGCAAGACGGACUAAAGCGAAAGCAUUUGCCAAAGGUGUUUUCAUUAAUCAAGAACGAAAGUUAGAGGUUCGAAGGCGAUUAGAUACCGCUGUAGUUCUAACCAUAAAUGAUGCCAGCCAGCGAUCCGCCGAAGUUUCAAAAUUUUAACCCGGUGGGCAGCUCCCGGGAAACCAAAGCUUUCGGGCUCCGGGGGGAGUAUGGUUGCAAAGCUGAAACUUAAAGGAAUUGACG